UACGUAGGUGGCAAGCGUUGUCCGGAUUUAUUGGGUUUAAAGGGUGCGUAGGUGGCCUUAUAAGUCAGUGGUGAAAGCCUGCAGCUUAACUGUAGGACUGCCAUUGAUACUGUAGGGCUUGAGUACUGAUGAGGUAGGCGGAAUUGAUAGUGUAGCGGUGAAAUGCAUAGAUAUUAUCAAGAACACCGAUUGCGAAGGCAGCUUACUAAGGAGUUACUGACACUGAGGCACGAAAGCGUGGGGAUCAAACAGG
Molecule: ribosomal RNA, 253 nt
Filed under: uncultured bacterium
Lineage: Bacteria
Description: partial 16S ribosomal RNA
Rfam family: Bacterial small subunit ribosomal RNA
Source: RNAcentral